GACGAACGCUGGCGGCGUGCUUAACACAUGCAAGUCGAACGGAAAGGCCCUGCUUUUGUGGGGUGCUCGAGUGGCGAACGGGUGAGUAACACGUGAGUAACCUGCCCUUGACUUUGGGAUAACUUCAGGAAACUGGGGCUAAUACCGGAUAGGAGCUCCUGCUGCAUGGUGGGGGUUGGAAAGUUUCGGCGGUUGGGGAUGGACUCGCGGCUUAUCAGCUUGUUGGUGGGGUAGUGGCUUACCAAGGCUUUGACGGGUAGCCGGCCUGAGAGGGUGACCGGCGACAUUGGGACUGAGAUACGGCCCAGACUGCUACGGGAGGCAGCAGUGGGGAAUAUUGCACAAUGGGCGGAAGCCUGAUGCAGAAACGCCGCGUGCGGGAUGACGGCCUUCGGGUUGUAAACCGCUGUCGCCUGUGACGAAGCGUGAGUGACGGUAAUGGGUAAAGAAGCACCGGCUAACUACGUG
This 468-nucleotide ribosomal RNA is filed under the name uncultured bacterium. Its description in RNAcentral is "partial 16S ribosomal RNA". It matches the Rfam family "Bacterial small subunit ribosomal RNA", at positions 28 to 507 of the family's 1533-position model. The record is from RNAcentral.